Molecule: ribosomal RNA, 1342 nt
Filed under: metagenome
Description: bacterial LSU rRNA
Rfam family: Bacterial large subunit ribosomal RNA
Source: RNAcentral
CCCUAUGCUGCCGAGAAAAGCCUCUAGCGAGCUGGUACAUGGCCCGUACCCCAAACCGACACAGGUGGUCAGGUAGAGAAUACUAAGGCGAUCGAGAGAACUGUGGUUAAGGAACUCGGCAAAAUGCCCCCGUAACUUCGGGAGAAGGGGGACCAGUCCUGGUGACGACAUUUACUGUCUGAGCUGGGGUUGGUCGCAGAGACCAGAGAGAAGCGACUGUUUACUAAAAACACAGGUCCGUGCGAAGUCGUAAGACGAUGUAUACGGACUGACGCCUGCCCGGUGCUGGAAGGUUAAGAGGACCGGUCAGCCACUUCGGUGGCGAAGCUGAGAAUUUAAGCCCCAGUAAACGGCGGUGGUAACUAUAACCAUCCUAAGGUAGCGAAAUUCCUUGUCGGGUAAGUUCCGACCUGCACGAAUGGCGUAACGACUUCUCUGCUGUCUCAACCACAGACUCGGCGAAAUUGCAGUACGAGUAAAGAUGCUCGUUACGCGCGGCAGGACGAAAAGACCCCGGGACCUUCACUAUAGCUUGGUAUUGGUGUUCGGUUCGGUUUGUGUAGGAUAGGUGGGAGACUGUGAAACUCGCACGCCAGUGUGGGUGGAGUCAUUGUUGAAAUACCACUCUGACCGUAUUGGACAUCUAACCUCGGACCAUGAUCUGGUUCAGGGACAGUGCCUGGUGGGUAGUUUAACUGGGGCGGUUGCCUCCUAAAAAGUAACGGAGGCGCCCAAAGGUUCCCUCAGCCUGGUUGGCAAUCAGGUGUUGAGUGUAGGUGCACAAGGGAGCUUGACUGUGAGACGUACAUGUCGAGCAGGGACGAAAGUCGGGACUAGUGAUCCGGCACCGGCAAGUGGAAGCGGUGUCGCUCAACGGAUAAAAGGUACCCCGGGGAUAACAGGCUGAUCUUCCCCAAGAGUCCAUAUCGACGGGAUGGUUUGGCACCUCGAUGUCGGCUCGUCGCAUCCUGGGGCUGGAGUAGGUCCCAAGGGUUGGGCUGUUCGCCCAUUAAAGCGGCACGCGAGCUGGGUUUAGAACGUCGUGAGACAGUUCGGUCUCUAUCCGCCGCGCGCGUAAGAAACUUGAGGAAACCUGUCCCUAGUACGAGAGGACCGGGACGGACGAACCUCUGGUGUGCCAGUUGUUCCACCAGGAGCACCGCUGGUUAGCUACGUUCGGAAGGGAUAACCGCUGAAAGCAUCUAAGCGGGAAGCCUGUUCCAAGAUGAGGUUUCUCACCACCUAGCGUGGUUAAGGCCCCCCACAGACCAUGGGGUUGAUAGGCCAGAACUGUAAGCACAGCAAUGUGUUCAGGUGACUGGUACUAAUCGGCCGAGGACUC